RNAcentral lists this ribosomal RNA (253 nucleotides) under uncultured bacterium. RNAcentral's name for it is "partial 16S ribosomal RNA". It matches the Rfam family "Bacterial small subunit ribosomal RNA", at positions 524 to 776 of the family's 1533-position model. The record is from RNAcentral.
UACAGAGGUCUCAAGCGUUGUUCGGAUUCAUUGGGCGUAAAGGGUGCGUAGGUGGCAAAGUGAGUCGGGUGUGAAAUCCUGGGGCUCAACCCCGGAACUGCACUCGAUACUGCUCUGCUCGAGUACUGGAGAGGAGACUGGAAUUUACGGUGUAGCAGUGAAAUGCGUAGAUAUCGUAAGGAAGACCAGUGGCGAAGGCGGAUCUCUGGACAGUUACUGACACUGAGGCACGAAGGCCAGGGGAGCAAACGGG